Apteryx owenii (little spotted kiwi) is the source of this 1629-nucleotide long non-coding RNA. Lineage: Eukaryota; Metazoa; Chordata; Aves; Apterygiformes; Apterygidae. The record is from Ensembl.
GCCGGGGCAGCGCGGUGGGAGCCGCGCGGCGCCCCGGCCCUCUCCCAGCCCUGCCGCAACAUUUAUUGCAAAAGCAGGAAAUCGCUGAUUACUAAACUAGCUGGCAAGGGAGCGGGAGCCGAUGCUGUUCCCCCCUGGCACGGCACUUGCCUAGCCGCUGCCUCCCCUGCCUCUCCUUGUUCCGCUCUUUCUUCUUCUUCUUCUUCCCCCUCUUCCUCUCCGCUCUCUCUCGCUCUCUCCUCUCCUUUUUUUUCAUUUUGGCUUCUAUUCAAAUGUGGGUCAGGGGUGAGCGGCUCCCAACGUCACAAGCUUGCAAGAUGGCGCUGGGAGGAAGGCUGUGAGAUGAGGAACAGGCUGGUAUAAACCGAGAGGACAGGAGAGGGAGAGGAGGAGGAGGAGGAGAGGGGAAGGGGAAGAAAAGCCGCUGCUCCAGAUGCAAUAAGAAGGUUCACAUGAAAUGGCACCUGGGCUACACACCAGCUGUGCAGUUUCAGAGACUUAUCAGUAGCUCUCUAAUAGCCAGACCAUCUAAUACCAUAUGCCAAAGGCUUGGGAUGUUCCCCACCCAUGAACUGGUUGGACAAGAAAGAAGGAAGAGGAGUCCAGGUCACAGUUCAGAGGCUCCGGAGAAAGCAGGCAUGACACUAUGAGUCUCGCUGGAUGUGUGUCGCGUGCUCGUUGCCCAGGUGCCCUCCGCGUAAAAGGGUUUGACAAAGUGGAGUCCCAGAUGGACUCGGAUGCUUCUGUGUCAGAGACGGCUCUGUGUGAGAUGUCGGUGCGGCUCUGGGUUGGAGUACAGAGGCAGACAAACACGGGGAAGUGGUUGAUGAAUUCAUGUUCCUUCCACCUGGCAAACUCAUGCCUGAAAUGCUGAAAGCACUUCAGCUCCAAAAGCCCUGAAAGCAUCGUGCACUAUGUGUGAAAACAUGAUGCAUCUUAUUGAGUGGGAAAAAGAAGUACUCUUUCACACCAGAGUUGCUUUAAAUUGGCCACUAAGGGGUUAAAUGAAUUGUCCAGUUCUGAGGAAGGCUGUUCCAAAAGAAGGCAUUGACUGGAAUAAGGUUUUGCUGCAGACACAAGCUGAUGUGCUUGCAGCGAAGAUUGCAGGCUUAUCAGUAAAGAUAAACAUGCAAGGGCUUCCAAAACCGUGUGCCCCUGCCACUUGUUUCGGAUCCUUUCUCAGAGACCAAGAGAAAAUGCAAAAUCUUCUCUAAGAUAGAUGCUCUUUCGAAGAGGGCAGCCAGCAGACUUUGUAGAAACAGAGGCCAUGUAUUAAUAUGUCAUUUGGAACAGGUACAGGAGAUAGUAGUUUACCUGGUUCAAAAUAGUACUUGAGUCCUUGCAGUAUCAUGUGGGGUUGGUUCUUUCCACUCAAUCAUCAGCCUUUUGCUGAGUGCCCAAAUGCUGUAAAACGCUGGGUUUUGUUGUCCUCAGUUACUUGCCCUGGCUAAUUUCUGCAUAUGGCUCUCUACUGCCAAGCAGUCUCCAGGCUUUACUACCCACUUGUUUGCCAUUUUCCACAAAUACUUUGAAUGUUCUUUUAUUUUAAUCCUAGUGCCGAGAGGAAGGGAAUGGAGAUAAUGUUUCCUUAACAGAAUGGAAUAAAAAUGGAUACAGAAUGUCUGGACA